RNAcentral lists this unclassified non-coding RNA (27 nucleotides) under Mus musculus (house mouse). RNAcentral describes it as "oocyte_clustered_small_RNA589". Lineage: Eukaryota; Metazoa; Chordata; Mammalia; Rodentia; Muridae. The record is from RNAcentral.
AAAGGAUAUACCUUCUUCUUAGCGCCA